AGAGUUUGAUCAUGGCUCAGAUUGAACGCUGGCGGCAGGCCUAACACAUGCAAGUCGAACGGUAACAGGAAACAGCUUGCUGUUUCGCUGACGAGUGGCGGACGGGUGAGUAAUGUCUGGGAAACUGCCUGAUGGAGGGGGAUAACUACUGGAAACGGUAGCUAAUACCGCAUAACGUCGCAAGACCAAAGAGGGGGACCUUCGGGCCUCUUGCCAUCAGAUGUGCCCAGAUGGGAUUAGCUAGUAGGUGGGGUAACGGCUCACCUAGGCGACGAUCCCUAGCUGGUCUGAGAGGAUGACCAGCCACACUGGAACUGAGACACGGUCCAGACUCCUACGGGAGGCAGCAGUGGGGAAUAUUGCACAAUGGGCGCAAGCCUGAUGCAGCCAUGCCGCGUGUAUGAAGAAGGCCUUCGGGUUGUAAAGUACUUUCAGCGGGGAGGAAGGGAGUAAAGUUAAUACCUUUGCUCAUUGACGUUACCCGCAGAAGAAGCACCGGCUAACUCCGUGCCAGCAGCCGCGGUAAUACGGAGGGUGCAAGCGUUAAUCGGAAUUACUGGGCGUAAAGCGCACGCAGGCGGUUUGUUAAGUCAGAUGUGAAAUCCCCGGGCUCAACCUGGGAACUGCAUCUGAUACUGGCAAGCUUGAGUCUCGUAGAGGGGGGUAGAAUUCCAGGUGUAGCGGUGAAAUGCGUAGAGAUCUGGAGGAAUACCGGUGGCGAAGGCGGCCCCCUGGACGAAGACUGACGCUCAGGUGCGAAAGCGUGGGGAGCAAACAGGAUUAGAUACCCUGGUAGUCCACGCCGUAAACGAUGUCGACUUGGAGGUUGUGCCCUUGAGGCGUGGCUUCCGGAGCUAACGCGUUAAGUCGACCGCCUGGGGAGUACGGCCGCAAGGUUAAAACUCAAAUGAAUUGACGGGGGCCCGCACAAGCGGUGGAGCAUGUGGUUUAAUUCGAUGCAACGCGAAGAACCUUACCUGGUCUUGACAUCCACGGAAGUUUUCAGAGAUGAGAAUGUGCCUUCGGGAACCGUGAGACAGGUGCUGCAUGGCUGUCGUCAGCUCGUGUUGUGAAAUGUUGGGUUAAGUCCCGCAACGAGCGCAACCCUUAUCCUUUGUUGCCAGCGGUCCGGCCGGGAACUCAAAGGAGACUGCCAGUGAUAAACUGGAGGAAGGUGGGGAUGACGUCAAGUCAUCAUGGCCCUUACGACCAGGGCUACACACGUGCUACAAUGGCGCAUACAAAGAGAAGCGACCUCGCGAGAGCAAGCGGACCUCAUAAAGUGCGUCGUAGUCCGGAUUGGAGUCUGCAACUCGACUCCAUGAAGUCGGAAUCGCUAGUAAUCGUGGAUCAGAAUGCCACGGUGAAUACGUUCCCGGGCCUUGUACACACCGCCCGUCACACCAUGGGAGUGGGUUGCAAAAGAAGUAGGUAGCUUAACCCUCGGGAGGGCGCUUACCACUUUGUGAUUCAUGACUGGGGUGAAGUCGUAACAAGGUAACCGUAGGGGAACCUGCGGUUG
This 1522-nucleotide ribosomal RNA is filed under the name metagenome. Its description in RNAcentral is "bacterial SSU rRNA". It matches the Rfam family "Bacterial small subunit ribosomal RNA". The record is from RNAcentral.